This is a long non-coding RNA of Melopsittacus undulatus (budgerigar), 2042 nucleotides long. The record is from Ensembl. Lineage: Eukaryota; Metazoa; Chordata; Aves; Psittaciformes; Psittaculidae.
AUUUACAAACUUUCAAAUAUAAUUAUGUUUAACAUAAAAUUUCACCCUUUUUCUAACACAUUUAUGUGUUUAUCACAGUAGCUGUGCCUAGGAUUGCCCUGACCCAGGUAUAGGACCUUGAACCAUGGUUCAACUUCAUAAGGUUGGCAUCAGCCCACCACUCAAGCAUGUCAAGUGUGGGGAGUGAAGGUGAUAAGAUUUGCAUGAAAAAGAGUUUGGGAAUGAGCUCUGAGGCCUUGGUGCUUUGACAAGCCCUGGGGUGAUGAGUUGGAACUUGAAGGACAGGGAAGGUAAACAAGCAAGCCUUGGGAGGAUGGGCCAGGAUAAUGUAGUUGUGGUGGGAAUCUCAGUUGGAGGCCAGAGGAUGUGGGGGUUGUGAGAGGUUCUGCAACACUGUGAUUGGACUGUUUACUUGGAGAGUUUUACAGGGGCCAAAGAGAUUGAAUGUUGUAUGUAUGUGCAGGUUGGGAAAAUACCGAACAAGGGGAUAAAAAGGGCUUGGUGAUAAUAAACUAGGAUUUGAGUCUCUGCAUCACCUUGAGUCUGUGUCGUGAAAUGCCACAGUCAAGAUCCCUCUGGAUAGCAUUCCUUCCCUCCAGUGUAUCAACUGAACCACACAGCAUGGUGUCAUUGGCAAACUUGCUGAGGGUGCACUCAGUCCUUCUGUCCAUGUCACUGACAAAGAUGUUGAACAGGAUCGGUCCCAACACUCAGCCCUGAGGAAUACCACUCGUUACUGUUCUCCGAUUGGACAUUGAGCUGUUGACCACAACUCUUCAUGCAGCCAUCCAGCCAGUUCUUUAUCCGCCAAAUGGUCCAUCCAUCAAAUUGAUGUCUCUCCAGAUUAGAGAGAAGGCUGUUAUGUGGGACAGUGCCUAAUGCUUUGCAUCAGUCCAGCAUGUCUAAAAUCUGGCCUGGUGGGGAAGAGGUGUGCAUGGACAGGCUAAAAUGUUACCAAGUUCCAAACAUGAUGCCAGCCAUCAGAUCAACAGGAGCCUUUCAAUAACAGAGGGGAGAUUGGAUGGGAGCUUUAGGAAGAAGAAUCUUCCACCAAAGUCACAGAAAACACAAAUAGCCCAACAGCAAGUAUUAUACCUAGGAUAUGAGGUGACCACAAGACAAUGGACUUUGGGAGCUGCAAGAAAAGAGACCAUCUGCCAGACUCCACAGCCACAGACCGUCAAAGAGCUUCACACAUUCCUAGAUCUCUUUCAGAAUCACCUCUAGAACCGAAGUGGGAAGGUCUGUUGGAAGUGCUGCUGACUUCUCAUAUGGCAGUUAAGAUUAAAAAGCAAGCACCGUGGAUUCAUCAUACCAGAAUAAAGAAAGCCCCUAAGCCACAACGAGAAACAACACCUACUGGACCUCUGAAACUUCGAAUUUGACAAAAUGACUGUAUUUUGCAUAAUAAGAAUACAGCCUUGGAAUCAAAAUCUAUAUUUGAGAUUGAUACAGAAUGUAACCAGAGUUAUAAAUAUGAGUGAUUGCUGAAUCUGUACUCAGCUGCCUAAAUCAGGAGAAAAGCCAGGUAUUCCUUUAAUUGGCUUCCCUAUCCCCUUUAAAAAACAAUUGAAAAUCUGGAAACAAACUAAGUGAUCCCCCUCACACCAGGCACCGCAAUAAACAUACCUGCUUCAUAACUCUUUGUGAGUUAUGAAGUUCUAUUCCGCAAAUCAGCAUAAGACAUUCAACUAAACUGUUAACAGGAAUAAAACUAAAAGUUUUGCUUGGGAUGCAGACUGGAAUUAUGGCUUCAGCUCUUGCCACCUCUAAUUCCUUUGGUGUAAAUCCACACCCUUCCCACUGACCUGAGCACAAGUAGCCAAUCUUACCAAAACAAACAGCAGAUCCUGACAAACUUUUAUGACAACAUACCACAUGAAUUUUAAAACAGAACACAUGCUUUUUAAAAUCUCUCAGUGUAUUGCAGUUCUACUAGUGUGACAUUUUGUUUUCUAAGUAUGUCUAAACACAUGAAACAGAGUUCAAAAUUAAAAAAUAAAAUAAAAAUAUAAUUGCUUAAACCCAUUAAUAAUUUUUAC